RNAcentral lists this long non-coding RNA (3837 nucleotides) under Brassica napus (rape). RNAcentral's name for it is "long non-coding RNA (BNAP_LNC023598)". The stretch from base 1218 to 1342 matches the Rfam family "MIR9563 microRNA precursor family". The record is from RNAcentral. Lineage: Eukaryota; Viridiplantae; Streptophyta; Magnoliopsida; Brassicales; Brassicaceae.
UUGACUCUGAUUGAUUUAACGUUAAUCACGUAACUGCCACUCGAGACGGAUGACAGAGGAGUGUAGACCAGGGAUUUAGACGCGGCAACUCCGAAAACAUCUUCAACCGAACUCGUUGAGGCGACGCCGUUCGACUGCGACAGGUAAAGCGUUAAACGACGGCGUUCGUUAGUUUGCGCGGCGAGUUGCGAGGGAAGAGAGAUCUGGGCCUUUCCUAGGCCCAUUACUCCUUGGGCUCCACUAGCAAGCCCACGUAGCAGCGACGGAGGAGCACAAGCGAAGAGGAUAUCAGCGGUUCCCGGAGAAGAAACAGAUCCAAAUGACAAGACGUCUCUUGCAAUCUCUCCUCUCGCUGCGAUACCAACGUCGCCAUUUCUCACAAGCAAAUCGCACACCGCGUUACGCGAUACUCGCUCGUCCCCAACCUUCGCCUUAAGGCAGCCGCUAGAGCUCCCGGAGACCAGACUCCGAGAAGAGGAAACAUGUCCGGAGGAACAAUCGAACCAUAGAAGCGAACCGGAGAGAUCAACGACGAGCUUGACAGGCUCCGGCGAAUCGCCCAUAAGAAUCUGUGCGAUGUAUUGACCGGUAUGUACGUCGCGAGCAACAGGGAAAACGACGCCGUUAACUGAAUCAGACAUCUGCGAAUUUGAAAUGAAUACAACGGAAAGGAAGGAGAAGAGGACGAGAUUCAGACAAGAAGCCAUUACAAGUGUGAUUGAGUGUGGGGGACGCAAUGGAUGAAGACGGUUUUAAAGGAUUAGUUAGGUUCUGGUUUGAAUCUGAGAUGCGGUGGGCCGACGCUGGUUUAUAAGAUUGGGAUAGCGAAUGUGAACCGAUAAGGAUUGGUUAGAUUUGAGGCAAGUGCUGAGUAGACUGCGUGUCGUUUUGCGGAUUUGUGGGGACCUUUUUUUUUCUUUUUUUGUCAAUGUUUAUCCAUUUAUUUAAAAAGAAAAAGGAGACGAUUAGAGGAGUUUUGGCACGUGCAAAGAUAAGGUUUCUUAAUAUUUUCGUUUUUCGGCGAAUAUUCGUAGUCGUGUAAAGGUUUAUGCCUACUUCGCCAACUCGAGUUAAAGUUGGUUUGAUAGAGUUACAAAGUCCAUGCGGCAGUUUUUGAUUGGUAUCCAGAAUAACAGAGUUGUGGGAAGUGGGAACUAUGAAGAGUGAGAUUAGGCUCAUACACAAAAUGGGUCUAAUUAACUCGGGAAAUUUUUAGCGGAAGAUAAGAAACUGUUUCUUAACUUUUAACUAAAAAGUUAAGAACCAGUUCUUAAAUAAGGACUUUAAUAACCGGUUCUUAACUUUUUUAUUUAAAAGUUAAGAAACAGUUUUUUUAACUUCCGGUAAAAACUCCACUAUAAGAACCCGGUUUAAUCAUGGUCUUAUGGCGAUAUAGCCCAAUAUUGUCCAUGCCUUCUUACAGCAAAACAAUAUGGUCUCUAGAUUUAUUUGAUAAUCCACAGAUGAAGUAAGUUGACGCUACAUUCAAUUCUCAUAAGAAACACGAUAGGGAGACCAUGGCAAUGCCUUCAAAUUGCCAUAAACAUUAAUUCAUUGCUCAUCUAGAUAACUCAUGAGACCUAACUCUUCUAGAUAAUUGGAAGUUUGGUAUCCCAGCCGCAGACUAUCUUGAAGGCAGUGCUACGCUAGCAAGUUCACUCUAUUCCCAGGUAAAGUUUAUAAUGUUAUCUGUCCUUAAGUAAAUUCCUGUGGUUGCACUCACACGAAUAGAUUGUAAUGUUUCAUUAUUUUCUUUAUUCAUUCUCAUCAGGCCCUUGGUAUCCCAACUGGUCCUCAUGGAGCUUUCCGUGAUUAUCAAGUUGAUGCAAUUACUUUGAAAGUUUCGCCUAGAUAUCCUCCUGACAAUAAGGGAAGGCAACACGAGUUCUUUCUGCGAGGUGCCCAGUAAGUUUUCGCAUUUAUGUUUGCUAUCUUUUUAUUAUGUAUACCUACCUCUGCUAGUUUAUGCGAGUCUUGUAAUGCAAAAGAACUAACUUUGUAUCAGUGUUAGAUGAUAACUCUGUGCUUGCUCUUUAAACGCAGGUUACUUGAAGGAACUAUAAGAUCAGUGAACAAUCUCCUUGAGAAGUUCCAUCAAUCGUUUUUCCUUUACCUGUUAACUUCCCCAGGCAAAUUUAUCUCUGUAGGAGUCUACAUGAUCGCCUUUGCUCUUCUUGUAGCCCCUCUUGCGAUGGUCGCAGCCUCUUUAUACAUUGAUGGAUGUACCACUCAAAACCCUGCCGAAAACCUCAAGUCAUGGAAGUGGCUAGACGCAGCUAAACAGGUCUUUGCUUUGCACCUGUUAGGUUUCAUCGUCACACUGCUUCCAUAUUUCAUCUGUCAAGUACCGGGAGAACAAUCUCCAACAAACCGCUCCAUCAUCUGGGCCACUACGUCAUCUUCGCUUCUCCUUAUAACCUUUGUCACAAUUCCGGGUUGCUCUCCAUUCUCCUCUCGCCUCCAUGGAACCAACUGGGCUGUCUUGAAAUCGGUGACCAUCUCAGCUGCCUUCAUCGGUCUGUGCCUCAUGUCCAUAAUCAACUUUGCCACCGCAGAGAUUGGAGCGUUGCUACUAGUGCCAAUGUGUCUAAUGGUUCGUCCAAUAAAACCCGAUCUGAGAUCCAGACGUGUUAAGAGCCUGCUGCGUGCGUUGUGCAGCAUUGUAUUGGUGACCAUUGGGUUCCCAGUCAUAUUUUUCGCAAUCUCCAAGGGAUUGAUAGGAGAAGGGCUCGUGGGGUUGAGUCUUGGAGGAGAGUUUUGGACAUGGUUAGAGUCGCUAUGGGCAUGGAAGAGUGCUACAUAUCUAUACAUAGGUAUGGUUUAUCUUCCUUGCUGGCUCCUUUGCCUCUGUAUUUUGUUUCAUCCAUCUUAAUUAUUUCCUUGCUUAGUCGAAAGCUAUACACACUUUGUUUGAAUUUGUUAUCCAACAACCUUGUGCUUGUAAUUUUUUUGGUGUCUUGAAAAUUUGAGAAACUAAAGCAGAUACUAAGCUCUGAAGUGUAAAAUGCGUAGUUGCUUACAGAGAAAAAAGGUAUCUUAACAAACACAAACAAAGAGAGCAAAACUGAGUAUAUCUACCAAGUUAAACUAGAUGGUUUUACUACAAAGAUUCUGGUUGCAACGACUCUGAAGUAGAGCGUGUUCUUUGUCCGAAUCCCAACAUCGAGUUACCCAAAUCAAAGUCCAAUACAAAGCCUUCUAACUGAAGCCCACCCAUUAUAAUCGGGCUGACCGGGUUCGACCCGCCGUCUACAAUACCCAAGCAUCGGACACCACCACCAACAUCCACCAUCAGAUUCCUCCCAUGAAUCCUCCACCUCACCAUCUCGCUCUGCAGUGACAGAUCAACCGCCGGGAAAUCUACCUCACUCGAAGACGUGAAGCAGAGACUGAACGGUGCUACGGGAGAUACCGACUUAGCGUUAGUCGCAGCUUUAGUGUAAGCUUCUGCAAACACCGCGAAGAUUGAGCUCUCCAGCAUCGUGUAAGGAACCACCGUGCUUAGUUCCACAGACAACGGACCAUCCACGGAGAGCCUUUUAUCGUUGACUCUGAUUGAUUUAACGUUAAUCACGUAACUGCCACUCGAGACGGAUGACAGAGGAGUGUAGACCAGGGAUUUAGACGCGGCAACUCCGAAAACAUCUUCAACCGAACUCGUUGAGGCGACGCCGUUCGACUGCGACAGGUAAAGCGUUAAACGACGGCGUUCGUUAGUUUGCGCGGCGAGUUGCGAGGGAAGAGAGAUCUGGGCCUUUCCUAGGCCCAUUACUCCUUGGGCUCCACUAGCAAGCCCACGUAGCAGCGACGGAGGAGCACAAGCGAAGAGGAUAUCAG